Molecule: ribosomal RNA, 253 nt
Filed under: uncultured bacterium
Lineage: Bacteria
Description: partial 16S ribosomal RNA
Rfam family: Bacterial small subunit ribosomal RNA
Source: RNAcentral
UACGAGAGGCCCAAACGUUAUUCGGAUUUACUGGGCUUAGAGAGUUCGUAGGCGGCUUGGAAAGUGGGGUGUGAAAGCCCUCGGCUCAACCGAGGAACCGCGCUCCAAACUCCCAAGCUUGAGGAAGCUAGAGGUGAGCAGAACAGAUGGUGGAGCGGUGAAAUGCGUUGAUAUCAUCUGGAAUACCGGAGGCGAAGGCGGCUCACUGGGACUUUUCUGACGCUGAGGAACGAAAGCUAGGGGAGCGAACGGG